CAGAAUUGCAACAGAAACUCUUGCUGCUGCUAUUGGUUCUGGCAAGCAAGGUCCUGAAACAGGUUAUUGGAAGUUCCUGGUGAUGGCAGCCAUUCUCUGAUUUCUUGCAUUGAGCUUCCAGUUCUCAUGUGUGACAGGCAGUUGGGAAAGCAGCUGGUGGGGAAUGCAGCAGCUUCUUGACAACCGAAUCACAGCUAGUAUGAUGUAUCCUUGAACUAAACAGUCCAGUGGUCAUCCCCUGACUGCUGCUGCCCCAGCUCAUCCAAUCAUUUGGUGGGCCUCAUGCAGUAAGUUGAAGGUUGUAAGAGCAAAGAUAGAAGGCCUUCCCAAAGAAUGAGGACUUCUGCCUGAGGAUAGCAAAUACCAAUUCUGCAUGGGUUUCCUGGCUUCAGACUCAAGAAUGCAAUAUCAACUCUUACUGGAAUUUCUAUCCUACCAGCUUGCCCUGCAAAUUUCAGACUUGCCAGCCCUUGCAAUUGUGUUAUUCAAGGUUUUCAAAAACAAAGAUGUUGUAAAGAUAUAUGCAAUAACUAUUACUAAAGCAUAAUAUUAUAACAUUAUUUAAAAAGCAUGUGCUUUGAAGUCUGCAGACCUAGAAUACAGUUCUUCUCUAUCACGUAUAAUCUAUGUA
RNAcentral lists this long non-coding RNA (631 nucleotides) under Homo sapiens (human). Its description in RNAcentral is "HSALNT0364075". The record is from RNAcentral. Lineage: Eukaryota; Metazoa; Chordata; Mammalia; Primates; Hominidae.